This 395-nucleotide ribosomal RNA is filed under the name uncultured bacterium. RNAcentral's name for it is "bacterial SSU rRNA". It matches the Rfam family "Bacterial small subunit ribosomal RNA", at positions 28 to 414 of the family's 1533-position model. The record is from RNAcentral.
GACGAACGCUGGCGGCGUGCCUAAUACAUGCAAGUCGAGCGGAUUGAUGGGAGCUUGCUCCCUGAUAUCAGCGGCGGACGGGUGAGUAACACGUGGGCAACCUGCCUAUAAGACUGGGAUAACUUCGGGAAACCGGAGCUAAUACCGGAUCAUUCCUUUCCUCACAUGGGGGAAGGCCAAAAGAUGGUUUACGCUAUCACUUAUAGAUGGGCCCGCGGCGCAUAGCUAGUUGGUGAGGUAAUGGCUCACCAAGGCAACGAUGCGUAGCCGACCUGAGAGGGUGAUCGGCCACACUGGGACUGAGACACGGCCCAGACUCCUACGGGAGGCAGCAGUAGGGAAUCUUCCGCAAUGGACGAAAGUCUGACGGAGCAACGCCGCGUGAGUGAUGACGG